UGUUACAAAUCGAAUGCUAGUGUCUAAAUACUCAUUAAUCCCAGUGUUUUGAGCAUAAGGAUCGAAAGAAGAAGGAGCUAGUUCCGGAUCACAAACAAAGGCACAAGAUCGAGGUAAAGCACCCGUAUGAUUGUCAUUGCGUCGCUCGGAUACGAACACACCUUGAUCACCCGUGAUGCGCUUCCGCAACUUUUGUAGUAACCUUAUUAGUUAAAGGCUUUUGU
Molecule: long non-coding RNA, 224 nt
Organism: Helianthus annuus (common sunflower)
Lineage: Eukaryota; Viridiplantae; Streptophyta; Magnoliopsida; Asterales; Asteraceae
Exons: 3
Source: RefSeq, a predicted model, not a curated record